UGGAUUAAUAUUAUUAGAGAUGAAAGCGAUAGAAAGUAAUAGACAUAAACGAAUAGGACGUAUAGAAAGAAAGAUUGGGGACCAUAAACAACCCAUACCUUUAAAUCUAACAGAAAAAAAAAAAGAAAAAAAAAAGAGAGAGAGAGAGAUCGUGGUCACAUGGUGGCAUGUGAGGGGAAGAAUGGGGGAAGGUUUUAUAUAAUUUUGUUAGAAUAAUAAUGAAUAUGCAAGUAAAGAAAAAAAGAAAGGGUGAUUUGGGUGUGAAUAUAAAUAAUUACAGUGUUGGGUUUUGAUGGAUUUGUCUGUUUUUGGGAAGAUUAUUGUUGGGUGAAUGUGUUACUACCCAUGUGACGUGUAUGUAUGUAUGUGAUGGGUAAAUGAAUGAAGAAGCAAGAAACGGUGAAUGAAUGAAUGAAGCAGAACCCUACUUACUUAGUUACUUACUUACUUACUACAUAGUGAUGAUGGAUACUGCUGUUAUCUCUGAAACCCAAAAAGCAAAGAAUUUUCCACCACUCUCAUCUCUCUAUAAAUUAAAGCUGCUUCUAGAGUGGUCCAUGCUCUUCUCCUUUCUAUACCAAUGCUUCACUAUUUCUUCCUUCCUUCCUUCCUUCCUUCAUUCAUUCAUUCAUUCAUCAGAUCUGAGUCCUGGUCAUGCUUUUCCACAGCUUUCUUGAACUUCUUGUAUGUGCAUCCAUCUCAACUUCUUCUAAGUAAGUAUGUAAUUACAGUCUUAACCAAGAAGCUCAAGAAAGCUGUGGGAGAAUAUGGCAAUUUCAGGCCUUUCUUGUAAUUUCUCUUCUCUGAUUCUCUCAACAUCGGUAAGUGCUAUUACCCUACACCUUAAUAUUGUUGUUAUAUAGAUAGAGUCAUCAUAUGCUGCUGCUUCAUGGUUCUGUAUGUAAUUAGAUCCAACCAAAUCAAAUUGUUGCAUUACAUUAUAUUGUUUCAUCUCUGUUUUGUUUUAAGGAAAUAUAUAAAGAAAGAAAGAAAGAAAAGGUCUCACUUGACCUGUUCCCUGUCUCCUCUGAUCUGAUCUCAUGAGAAAUUUCAGUGGGAAAUAGUGGAAAAAUAAAGAAUCAACACUUUGAGCAACGGGCACACGAAACCCAUGAAGCAGCUUUGUGAAUUGUGACACGACAUCGUAUGAGUUACCAGAGAUUCAGCUGUAAGUAACUGAUCAUGGAUGCUUGGUGAUUGGUGACCUGAACCCUUCAAUGACACGAUGAAAAGAUGAAACUGAAUCAUCAGACAAUUUUCCUAGUACGGAAUUAUUCUUGCUUUUAAACUUUAACACCACUGUUCUACUUUUUUACAAAAAAUAAAUAUGUAAAAUAUAAAAUAAAACGAGAAAAUUCUCGUGCUAUGGUU
Molecule: non-coding RNA, 1371 nt
Organism: Arachis ipaensis
Lineage: Eukaryota; Viridiplantae; Streptophyta; Magnoliopsida; Fabales; Fabaceae
Source: RefSeq, a predicted model, not a curated record